AUUAUUAUUUUAAAUUCUAUUAUCUCAUUGUGGGUUUUAGGAAAAUGAGGGUAUUUGAGUUUAGUUUUAAGUAAAAGAAAAGAAAUUAUUAUAUUUUAAAGAGAUCUUCAUUCUCUCUCUUCGUGGCUGUUCAAGAGAAGCUUUUUACUUCUUUUCCUCUUUGUGUCAUUUUGUGAUGCAGCCAACCAAGGUCAUAUUUUUGAUGUGUCAAUUCUUCAUAAAUCAACUAGGUUCUAUCAAUCUAAAAAAAAAAUACUUGUUGAUCUAAUCUCCUUCUAGAAAUCUAGAGAAUUAAACCCCACUCCUCUAUUUUAUCCACCUCCUUCUAUUUCAAUCUCUCUCCUCUAAUUUUCUUGGUCCUAAAGUUGCUGCCGAAUUAUUUGCUCAAAAUAGACAGCAUGCAGUUGGAUUUUAGAAAUAUAUGCUAAAUGAAAGUUGUAGAUCUCUUCGAGAUAUUCAAUUUAGGCUCAAAAAUCACUCAAUUCCGACUUGUGUACUAUAAGUUAUGCCUGUUGCAAGUUUGGUGUUGCUACCUUCACUUCUCUCUCCUCUGUUUUCGUCAAUCUAUUUUUGAGAUUUUCUCCAACAUGCAAUCCAAAUUUGCUCCUUGUUUCUUCAUCAAAUUUGUAGAUCUCUUCGAGAUAAUGAAUCUUGGCACAAAAAUCACUCGAUUCGGAGUUCGGAGCUAUGAGUUAUGACCUUUAUAACUUUGGUGUUGUUGCUGCCAUUUUCUUUCGCACUUUCAUUGUCGUCGCUGCAGCGUCAUGGGUGAUGUUGUUGUUGUGUUGAUGUUAGGUACUCUUUCAAUCUUUCUCUCUCUUUAAUUCAUAAAACCCAAUUGUUAGAUGAAGGUAUAAAUUUUGGGUUUAAAAUGUGAUCCUUAUUUAAUCAAUUUCAAUCUAAUUUGUAUGCUACUAAUAGUUAAUGAUUUUCACAAAUCUAGUUGAACUUGGUAUUGAUUUCCAAAAUAGUUGAGAAAAUAGUUUGUUGAACUCAAAGAUUGAAUCUUUUAUCUUUAUUCAAUGGGUUGGAUUGAGGUUUAUAAUUUGUAUUGAUAUUUUUAAGUUAAGUUAUAAAAUCUGAUUUUAUAAACUAUGUUGUUUGAUAAUAUUCUUUAAAAUCAGAAUAAGGUUAAUUAAAGUUAGAGAGUGUUGUUAUAAAUUGGAUUAGUGGAAUAAUUGGUAUAUGAUGAGUUGUAGUUAGUUCAUGGAAGUGUUUAGAAAUGAUAAGCAAGUCAAUUCAUUUAUUUGAAUUAUAGUUGGAAAGAAUGUAAAUUGUUGUUAUUGUUGUUGUGAGGUGAUUAUUGGAGAUUGGUCACGAAUUUAGAGAUGUUGGACUCUUGAAGAUUUUUAUGGAAUUGAGCGUUAUUGGAGAAUGAAAGAGAAGGGAAGUAGCUGCAAAAGCAGUGACGAACAACAUUUGUGGAGCAGGUUUGCUUAUUAUGUGUUUGGAGCGGGUAUUGCUCCGUUAUGUAGGGUCAUGACAUAAAAGUCUUGCAAGCAGAAUAUAAGAAAGGUGGAGAGACGUCCCUCAAAAGUCUGGAGACAUGGUUUACCCCUCUCCAUUCGUGUUCCUUCCCUAACGUUCAAUGCUAAUGAAUUUUUCAGGGAAUGUGGAAUCCAGCUCUGGUGUGGUUUAAGGAUCAUGGUAUUAUAAGAGAUGCUUCUCAGAUGAUCUAUGGUGGAGAUUAUAUGGUGUUAUAGGAAAGAAAUGUCACAGUGUUUUAAUGUAUUAUAUCGGAGAUUUGAUUGAUCAAUUCAUGUAAUUGUAUUUCUAUUUUGUGAUAUUGUUGUGGGCCCAUAACCCACAGGUCCAGGAUCGUUUUAUAGAUUAUAUUUCCGCUGCGAGUGAAUGUAAAUUCGAGGUUAUUAAGUGUUAAUUGAGAUUUAUAAAUGUUAAGUGUAAUUAGCUAGCA
Molecule: long non-coding RNA, 1915 nt
Organism: Beta vulgaris subsp. vulgaris (sugar beet)
Lineage: Eukaryota; Viridiplantae; Streptophyta; Magnoliopsida; Caryophyllales; Amaranthaceae
Exons: 3
Source: RefSeq, a predicted model, not a curated record